UUCUUCUCUCUGCUGUGAGGCCGAAAGCUGCUUUACAUGCAGAUGUGAUGUGCAAUUCAUCGUGUUUCGAUUCAGCUGCAGAAUACGUUUCACUUAUUAAACGGAGUUGCACGUAGUGUUGUGCGCAUGCGCAAAAUGUCCGAAGUCCGUAGAAUCUGCUUACAAACAUCGGGGACAACAGAUUACCGAGCCAAAUGGAAAUAUUUUCUCUGACACGGACUAUGACUAGAAAACAUCAAAGGUUAACAUAACUUUAAGGAGAACAUUACUUAAAUAAAUAUAUAAAAGAACUUAGAAUAUAUAAAAACAAACAUAUUUCUACGAGUUUCCGAAAUCUGCUGGGAUUUCUACCACCACCCUGACAACUGGAGUCUGUGUUUUAUUGAAGAAUAAUGGGAUCUACUUUGUUUGGACUUGGAGCGGUUGGCCUAUAACACAAUUUGUUGUUCUCGUUAGAAAUGAAUUAAGAAAUCAUCAAUUUCAAAGAAAUCCUGUAUCACUGCCCUGAUCAUUCAAUAAAUCCAGAACAACAAAGAAAUUAUCCAGUUACACAAGGCUGAUGUCCACAACCAUUGAGAGAGCCUGAGCCACAGGGUAAACACAGGAGAAACGCAGAUGAAGAUUCUUCUGAUGGUUGGUCCCAUUCCCCUGAAUAGUAUUCUCAUACAUGAAGGUUGUACCACACAGAUGGUCGUCAUUGUCAAAAUGGAAGAUGAGUCGUCCGUUCUGGAGAGUCCCAUUGCAGGAUCUGUCUUGGAGAUGGAGAGCACUGGAGUGGAAGCCCGCUUCAAACAGCUGGCAGCGAGAUACUGACAUGGUGCCAGAACUGCUGGAGCAUUCAAUGUUUGCAUCUGCCCACCAAAGACAGAAACAUUUAGGCUUUAUUUACUCAGAUGGGAAAAAAAACUAUCUAUAAUUUCUAUUUCAACGGGGACCUGAUAAGACAGCAGCACCAUUUACAUGAAUCGUCAUUUACAUUCAAUGAAACAUGUUAAGUUUUAAAAGCAUC
Molecule: long non-coding RNA, 1009 nt
Organism: Poeciliopsis prolifica (blackstripe livebearer)
Lineage: Eukaryota; Metazoa; Chordata; Actinopteri; Cyprinodontiformes; Poeciliidae
Exons: 6
Source: RefSeq, a predicted model, not a curated record